UGACGUGGAUCACCCAACCAGAAGCAGUUAGUUCCAAUUCUCCAUCCCCAUCUCCUCCAGAGGUCUGAAAAAUCUCCAUGAUAAAAAAAUUGCUUCAAGCUGGGCCCGUUUCGCACAGUACCAUGAGGUGUGAUAUUCAUUCAUUCAGCAGAUAUUUUCAAGACUCUUCUAUGCCAGCCUCUAGGGAUAUAGCAGUAAAAGAAACAGACUCUGCCUUCAUGGGGCUUAUAUUGUAAUGGGGGUGACAGACAGCAGAUGC
Long non-coding RNA from Choloepus didactylus (southern two-toed sloth), 259 nucleotides. RefSeq lists it as uncharacterized. The record is from RefSeq and is a predicted model, not a curated record. Lineage: Eukaryota; Metazoa; Chordata; Mammalia; Pilosa; Megalonychidae. The transcript has 4 exons.